RNAcentral lists this transfer RNA (76 nucleotides) under Brucella sp. NBRC 12950. Its description in RNAcentral is "tRNA-Pro". It matches the Rfam family "tRNA". From Rfam's summary of the family: Transfer RNA (tRNA) molecules are approximately 80 nucleotides in length. Their secondary structure includes four short double-helical elements and three loops (D, anti-codon, and T loops). Further hydrogen bonds mediate the characteristic L-shaped molecular structure. tRNAs have two regions of fundamental functional importance: the anti-codon, which is responsible for specific mRNA codon recognition, and the 3' end, to which the tRNAs corresponding amino acid is attached (by aminoacyl-tRNA synthetases). tRNAs cope with the degeneracy of the genetic code in two manners: having more than one tRNA (with a specific anti-codon) for a particular amino acid; and 'wobble' base-pairing, i.e. permitting non-standard base-pairing at the 3rd anti-codon position. The record is from RNAcentral. Lineage: Bacteria; Pseudomonadati; Pseudomonadota; Alphaproteobacteria; Hyphomicrobiales; Brucellaceae.
CUGGGUGUAGCUCAGUAGGUAGAGCGCUCGGCUUGGGUCCGAGAGGCCGUAGGUUCAAGCCCUGCCACCUUGACCA